This 429-nucleotide ribosomal RNA is filed under the name Bacteroidota bacterium. Its description in RNAcentral is "Bacteroidetes bacterium partial 16S ribosomal RNA". It matches the Rfam family "Bacterial small subunit ribosomal RNA", at positions 355 to 776 of the family's 1533-position model. The record is from RNAcentral. Lineage: Bacteria; Pseudomonadati; Bacteroidota.
UAGGGAAUCUUCGGCAAUGGGGGGAACCCUGACCGAGCAACGCCGCGUGAGUGAAGAAGGUUUUCGGAUCGUAAAGCUCUGUUGUUAAGGAAGAACGAGUGUGAGAAUGGAAAGUUCAUACUGUGACGGUACUUAACCAGAAAGGGACGGCUAACUACGUGCCAGCAGCCGCGGUAAUACGUAGGUCCCGAGCGUUGUCCGGAUUUAUUGGGCGUAAAGCGAGCGCAGGCGGUUAGAUAAGUCUGAAGUUAAAGGCAGUGGCUCAACCAUUGUAGGCUUUGGAAACUGUUUAACUUGAGGGCAGAAGUGGAGAGUGGAAUUCCAUGUGUAGCGGUGAAAUGCGUAGAUAUAUGGAGGAACACCGGUGGCGAAAGCGGCUCUCUGGUCUGUAACUGACGCUGAGGCUCGAAAGCGUGGGGAGCGAACAGG